Molecule: ribosomal RNA, 2908 nt
Filed under: Escherichia coli
Lineage: Bacteria; Pseudomonadati; Pseudomonadota; Gammaproteobacteria; Enterobacterales; Enterobacteriaceae
Description: partial 23S ribosomal RNA
Rfam family: Bacterial large subunit ribosomal RNA
Source: RNAcentral
GACUAAGCGUACACGGUGGAUGCCCUGGCAGUCAGAGGCGAUGAAGGACGUGCUAAUCUGCGAUAAGCGUCGGUAAGGUGAUAUGAACCGUUAUAACCGGCGAUUUCCGAAUGGGGAAACCCAGUGUGAUUCGUCACACUAUCAUUAACUGAAUCCAUAGGUUAAUGAGGCGAACCGGGGGAACUGAAACAUCUAAGUACCCCGAGGAAAAGAAAUCAACCGAGAUUCCCCCAGUAGCGGCGAGCGAACGGGGAGCAGCCCAGAGCCUGAAUCAGUGUGUGUGUUAGUGGAAGCGUCUGGAAAGGCGCGCGAUACAGGGUGACAGCCCCGUACACAAAAAUGCACAUAUUGUGAGCUCGAUGAGUAGGGCGGGACACGUGGUAUCCUGUCUGAAUAUGGGGGGACCAUCCUCCAAGGCUAAAUACUCCUGACUGACCGAUAGUGAACCAGUACCGUGAGGGAAAGGCGAAAAGAACCCCGGCGAGGGGAGUGAAAAAGAACCUGAAACCGUGUACGUACAAGCAGUGGGAGCACGCUUAGGCGUGUGACUGCGUACCUUUUGUAUAAUGGGUCAGCGACUUAUAUUCUGUAGCAAGGUUAACCGAAUAGGGGAGCCGAAGGGAAACCGAGUCUUAACUGGGCGUUAAGUUGCAGGGUAUAGACCCGAAACCCGGUGAUCUAGCCAUGGGCAGGUUGAAGGUUGGGUAACACUAACUGGAGGACCGAACCGACUAAUGUUGAAAAAUUAGCGGAUGACUUGUGGCUGGGGGUGAAAGGCCAAUCAAACCGGGAGAUAGCUGGUUCUCCCCGAAAGCUAUUUAGGUAGCGCCUCGUGAAUUCAUCUCCGGGGGUAGAGCACUGUUUCGGCAAGGGGGUCAUCCCGACUUACCAACCCGAUGCAAACUGCGAAUACCGGAGAAUGUUAUCACGGGAGACACACGGCGGGUGCUAACGUCCGUCGUGAAGAGGGAAACAACCCAGACCGCCAGCUAAGGUCCCAAAGUCAUGGUUAAGUGGGAAACGAUGUGGGAAGGCCCAGACAGCCAGGAUGUUGGCUUAGAAGCAGCCAUCAUUUAAAGAAAGCGUAAUAGCUCACUGGUCGAGUCGGCCUGCGCGGAAGAUGUAACGGGGCUAAACCAUGCACCGAAGCUGCGGCAGCGACGCUGAUGCGUUGUUGGGUAGGGGAGCGUUCUGUAAGCCUGCGAAGGUGUGCUGUGAGGCAUGCUGGAGGUAUCAGAAGUGCGAAUGCUGACAUAAGUAACGAUAAAGCGGGUGAAAAGCCCGCUCGCCGGAAGACCAAGGGUUCCUGUCCAACGUUAAUCGGGGCAGGGUGAGUCGACCCCUAAGGCGAGGCCGAAAGGCGUAGUCGAUGGGAAACAGGUUAAUAUUCCUGUACUUGGUGUUACUGCGAAGGGGGGACGGAGAAGGCUAUGUUGGCCGGGCGACGGUUGUCCCGGUUUAAGCGUGUAGGCUGGUUUUCCAGGCAAAUCCGGAAAAUCAAGGCUGAGGCGUGAUGACGAGGCACUACGGUGCUGAAGCAACAAAUGCCCUGCUUCCAGGAAAAGCCUCUAAGCAUCAGGUAACAUCAAAUCGUACCCCAAACCGACACAGGUGGUCAGGUAGAGAAUACCAAGGCGCUUGAGAGAACUCGGGUGAAGGAACUAGGCAAAAUGGUGCCGUAACUUCGGGAGAAGGCACGCUGAUAUGUAGGUGAAGCGACUUGCUCGUGGAGCUGAAAUCAGUCGAAGAUACCAGCUGGCUGCAACUGUUUAUUAAAAACACAGCACUGUGCAAACACGAAAGUGGACGUAUACGGUGUGACGCCUGCCCGGUGCCGGAAGGUUAAUUGAUGGGGUCAGCGCAAGCGAAGCUCUUGAUCGAAGCCCCGGUAAACGGCGGCCGUAACUAUAACGGUCCUAAGGUAGCGAAAUUCCUUGUCGGGUAAGUUCCGACCUGCACGAAUGGCGUAAUGAUGGCCAGGCUGUCUCCACCCGAGACUCAGUGAAAUUGAACUCGCUGUGAAGAUGCAGUGUACCCGCGGCAAGACGGAAAGACCCCGUGAACCUUUACUAUAGCUUGACACUGAACAUUGAGCCUUGAUGUGUAGGAUAGGUGGGAGGCUUUGAAGUGUGGACGCCAGUCUGCAUGGAGCCGACCUUGAAAUACCACCCUUUAAUGUUUGAUGUUCUAACGUUGACCCGUAAUCCGGGUUGCGGACAGUGUCUGGUGGGUAGUUUGACUGGGGCGGUCUCCUCCUAAAGAGUAACGGAGGAGCACGAAGGUUGGCUAAUCCUGGUCGGACAUCAGGAGGUUAGUGCAAUGGCAUAAGCCAGCUUGACUGCGAGCGUGACGGCGCGAGCAGGUGCGAAAGCAGGUCAUAGUGAUCCGGUGGUUCUGAAUGGAAGGGCCAUCGCUCAACGGAUAAAAGGUACUCCGGGGAUAACAGGCUGAUACCGCCCAAGAGUUCAUAUCGACGGCGGUGUUUGGCACCUCGAUGUCGGCUCAUCACAUCCUGGGGCUGAAGUAGGUCCCAAGGGUAUGGCUGUUCGCCAUUUAAAGUGGUACGCGAGCUGGGUUUAGAACGUCGUGAGACAGUUCGGUCCCUAUCUGCCGUGGGCGCUGGAGAACUGAGGGGGGCUGCUCCUAGUACGAGAGGACCGGAGUGGACGCAUCACUGGUGUUCGGGUUGUCAUGCCAAUGGCACUGCCCGGUAGCUAAAUGCGGAAGAGAUAAGUGCUGAAAGCAUCUAAGCACGAAACUUGCCCCGAGAUGAGUUCUCCCUGACUCCUUGAGAGUCCUGAAGGAACGUUGAAGACGACGACGUUGAUAGGCCGGGUGUGUAAGCGCAGCGAUGCGUUGAGCUAACCGGUACUAAUGAACCGUGAGGCUUAACCUUACAACGCCGAAG